Molecule: ribosomal RNA, 254 nt
Filed under: uncultured bacterium
Lineage: Bacteria
Description: partial 16S ribosomal RNA
Rfam family: Bacterial small subunit ribosomal RNA
Source: RNAcentral
UACAGGGGGUGCAAACGUUGCUCGGAAUCAUUGGGCGUAAAGCGCACGUAGGCGGUUCGUUAUGUCGGAUGUGAAAGCCCUUGGCUUAACCGAGGAAGUGCAUCCGAAACUGGCGAGCUAGAGUACGAAAGAGGAUCGCGGAAUUCCCGGUGUAGAGGUGAAAUUCGUAGAUAUCGGGAGGAACACCGGUGGCGAAGGCGGGACUCUGGGCCGAUACUGACGCUGAGGAGCGAAAGCGUGGGGAGCAAACAGGG